This 277-nucleotide ribosomal RNA is filed under the name uncultured prokaryote. RNAcentral's name for it is "partial 16S ribosomal RNA". It matches the Rfam family "Bacterial small subunit ribosomal RNA", at positions 524 to 800 of the family's 1533-position model. The record is from RNAcentral.
UACGGAGGGUGCAAGCGUUACUCGGAAUCACUGGGCGUAAAGGACGCGUAGGCGGAUUAUCAAGUCUUGUGUGAAAUCUAGUGGCUUAACCACUAAACUGCAUAGGAAACUGAUAGUCUAGAGUAGGGGAGAGGUAGAUGGAAUUCUUGGUGUAGGGGUAAAAUCCGUAGAGAUCAAGAGGAAUACUUAUUGCGAAGGCGAUCUACUAGAACCUAACUGACGCUGAGGCGUGAAAGCGUGGGUAGCAAACAGGAUUAGAUACCCCGGUAGUCCCUGA